CCUGGCCUCAAGCCAUCCUCCCACCUCAGCCUCCCAAAGUGCUGGGAUUACAUGCAUGAGCCACCACAUCCAGCCUCCCUAAAAUAUUGAAUGCUGUUAAUAAAUCUCCUAAGAAGGUGAUGGGCAAAACUAAUGCAGUAGGAGCUGAAAUCGACCAGGGGGUUCUUAUCCAACAGACAGCAGCAAAACUCUUUGUGUAUCUGCGUUCCUUUCAACAAGUGUGACUUCCUCAAUGGCAUCAUUUGUGAGCGUAACACAGAGCUCAGCAAUAACGUUUCUUCACUAACCCUACCAGGGUUUCAGUUGUGCAAUUUCACCAUUAGCAAAGCUUUUUGCUGAAAUCUGGAUUUUCAAAGGGAGAGUAUCCAGAAACAGAAGAUGCUGAUCUGGGAGGCUCUUCCUAAUAGAACUGCUGCUUCAGUUUAGCUUGAAAAAGCCCACACUCAGUUCCUAAUGACAAACAUCUGAACACCAGGUCUUCCCACGAGCAAGACCAUGCUAUUCCUCCUGCUCGCUCUGUUCUAUAAGCAACCCACAGAUUGCUCCCUGUGAAGAGGAGCCUGCCAGGGAGCAGCAUUCCACCAGAUCCUGAUUUAGCAAGAUAUUUCCGUAUCAUUCCCCCAACCAGCUGGAAGUCCUCCACUGUUCUUGUGUAAAAAUCUAACUCAUCUCGCUGAAUUUCCUGAUUUAAAAGUCUAAUUCAUUUCACCAAAAGUGUGACAGAAGGAAACCAAGUACACCAUCUCUCUCUUACCAAACCAAAGCUAUUGCAUGUGCAUUCUGGGAGAAAAAAAUGGUCCAAAUAUGUUAUGGAGGGGGUGCCAGCCCAGUGUCAUCCUCUUACUAUUGCCAUAGGAUCUUGGCUGAUGGCAUCAGAAGAAAAACAAGUUUAUCGAUUACUUUCAACCAUUAAGCUCACUCCUCCAUGAAAAAUAAGUCACAAGUCCAAUGUCUCUUAUUAAAAUAAGCACUGCAAAAUAUAAAGGACUCACAGUUUUAAAAUGGGACACACGUUCUCUAAGCGGUGAACCACUUUAGAGGUGUACUGUUUACAUUGUAUAAAGUCCCCUGGAGCCAGGGUUAGGAAGCGCAUCUGUUCUUUGGUGUUCUGGGAUGAAGGAGAAAGGAAAAUGUGCUGCCAGAAGUGAGUGGGAAGGAGCCCAUGAGAUAAAGGAAGUAAAUCCAUUUGCUGAUUGCAAUAAUAAUGGUAAUACACGAAGCUAUACAUACAUACAUACAUACAUACAUACAUACAUGCAAACUUUCACAUUUUUUAAAAAAAGAACUUAAGGCUUCCACACAUGUAAUCAGCCCUUAUGAACUCUCCUGAUUAGCUGCAAGGAAAAUCUUCCUUUCUCCUUUUUCCUGCACCAUCCUGGGCUCCCUUUUGACUUUUUUUUUUUUUUUUUUUUUUUAACUUAUAAACGAUCAGCUCAUAUUCCGAAGUUUGUAGUCCCCUCCCGUCCCCUCUCUCUCUAUACCGCUCAUUUACAUUGGCAGCUGUCGUGCUGCUGGGCAUCCUCAAACCCACCAGUUUCCCUUUUAUGUUUGAGCAGACAAACAUGAUCAUGCACUAGGCAUCACUGUGCCACUCAAAAUGCUUUGUUUUUUUAUUGCAUCUGAGAGAAAUCUCAAGGUUGCAAACCUGGAGUCAGAAUUGUCUCCAUGUGUCUCAGUGGGAAGAGUAUCGUGUGAAGAAAUAAGUUGAUUCUACUAAUCAAAAGGAAUUUUUUUUGAUAUCAGGUCAUCCUCCGAAUGAAUUUAUAUUACCGAGUGGAGGGUCACAUGAAGAAAAUGGUCAAACAGCACCACCUACAGCAAGAGCUGAGAAGUGCAGCGGAGCCGGGCUGAGUCAGGAAAGAAAAGCAAGCUGGGGCCUGGCUCAGAGCUCUCCCCUCUGCUCCUGUCUGCACGGAAAGAUUAGGAUGACAGUGGCAGGAAGCCUGUGCACCUAGUAUGCAUCACUUGAAGGGAACACACAGAUUCCAGUAAACAGUUGGAAGGAAAUGUUAAUACCAGGCUCUGCUAAACAAUAUGAAAUGACUCCUAGAUGAGACAAGUGACUUUCAUCAAAGUUUCCUGAUACCUGAAAAGAUAGCCCAGGUGAUCCUGCACUACAUCUGCUGUAUGUAAAUUAAGCGGGUUUUUUUCCCCUUUGUAAUCAAGGCUCAUACACAAACAAAAUCACACUUUAGAAACGGCUUAUUUCAACUUGUAACUAGCUUGCUUUCAGGGGCUCCAGGUCAAAAAGAAAUAGAGCACAAAGACGCUUUCUCCUUAGGGAUCAUACACAAAUUCACUCUGUCCGUUUCUUUCCCACAUGGAGCAACAAAGCCAUCAGACCUCUCCAUCCACCCAUCGGGUCCUUCCUGAUUAAAGUGAGAUAAAUCACAGCCCUCUCUCUCCAGAUGGCAGGCGACAAGAGGGGGAUGCUUGCCUCAAGAAGUCCUCCCCAUCCCUCUGCAUUCAUGCAAGCCCGAGCGGAGAGAUGCAAGAAAUUAUGGAUGCAUUUUAAUUGCCCAGACCCUGCAAUUAAAAAUGGAAAUUUUUUGGCCACGCGUGUUGGCUCACGCCUGUAAUCCCAG
Molecule: long non-coding RNA, 2585 nt
Filed under: Homo sapiens (human)
Lineage: Eukaryota; Metazoa; Chordata; Mammalia; Primates; Hominidae
Description: HSALNT0352061
Source: RNAcentral